CCCCGUAAACGAUGUCAACUAGCCGUUGGAAAGGUAAUCCUUUUAGUGGCGCAGCUACGCUUUAAGUUGACCGCUGGGGAGUACGGUCGCAAGAUUAAAACUCAAUGAAUGACGGGGGCCCGCACAAGCGGUGGAGCAUGUGGUUAUUUGACGCAACGCGAAGACCUUACCUGGUCUUGACAUCUGCGAACUUUCUAAGAUAGAUUGGUGCCUUCGGAACGCAGUGACAGGUACUGCAUGGCUGUCGUCAGCUCGUGUCGUGAGAUGUUGGGUUAAGUUCCCGUAACGAGCGCAACCCUUGUCCUUAUUUGCCAUCAUUUAGUUGGGCACUCUAGGGAGACUGCCGGUGACAAACCGGAGGAAGGCGGGGACGACGUCAAGUCAUCAUGGCCCUUACGACCAGGGCUACACACGUGCUACAAUGGGGCGUACAAAGGGUUGCAAUCCCGCGAGGGGGAGCUAAUCCCAUAAAACGUUUCGUAGUCCGGAUCGCAGUCUGCAACUCGACUGCGUGAAGUCGGAAUCGCUAGUAAUCGUAGAUCAGAAUGCUACGGUGAAUACGUUCCCGGGCCUUGUACACACCGCCCGUCACACCAUGGGAGUGGGUUGCAAAAGAAGUGGGUAGCAUAACCUUCGGGAGUGCGCUCACCACUUUGUGAUUCAUGACUGGGGUGAAGUCGUAACAAGGUAGCCGUAGGGGAACCUGCGGCUGGAUCACCUCCUU
This 724-nucleotide ribosomal RNA is filed under the name uncultured Gammaproteobacteria bacterium. RNAcentral's name for it is "bacterial SSU rRNA". It matches the Rfam family "Bacterial small subunit ribosomal RNA", at positions 798 to 1532 of the family's 1533-position model. Lineage: Bacteria; Pseudomonadati; Pseudomonadota; Gammaproteobacteria. The record is from RNAcentral.